GGCGAACGCUGGCGGCGUGCCUAAUACAUGCAAGUAGAACGCACAGUUUAUACCGUAGCUUGCUACACCAUAGACUGUGAGUUGCGAACGGGUGAGUAACGCGUAGGUAACCUGCCUGGUAGCGGGGGAUAACUAUUGGAAACGAUAGCUAAUACCGCAUAAUAUUAAUUAUUGCAUGAUAAUUAAUUGAAAGGUGCAAUUGCACCACUACCAGAUGGACCUGCGUUGUAUUAGCUAGUAGGUGAGGUAACGGCUCACCUAGGCGACGAUACAUAGCCGACCUGAGAGGGUGAUCGGCCACACUGGGACUGAGGCACGGCCCAGACUCCUACGGGAGGCAGCAGUAGGGAAUCUUCGGCAAUGGACGAAAGUCUGACCGAGCAACGCCGCGUGAGUGAAGAAGGUUUUCGGAUCGUAAAGCUCUGUUGUAAGAGAAGAACGGGUGUGAGAGUGGAAAGUUCACACUGUGACGGUAUCUUACCAGAAAGGGACGGCUAACUACGUG
This 505-nucleotide ribosomal RNA is filed under the name uncultured bacterium. RNAcentral describes it as "partial 16S ribosomal RNA". It matches the Rfam family "Bacterial small subunit ribosomal RNA", at positions 28 to 507 of the family's 1533-position model. The record is from RNAcentral.